Molecule: small nuclear RNA, 330 nt
Filed under: Heterocephalus glaber (naked mole-rat)
Lineage: Eukaryota; Metazoa; Chordata; Mammalia; Rodentia; Bathyergidae
Description: 7SK RNA
Rfam family: 7SK RNA
About the family: 7SK was discovered as an abundant small nuclear RNA in the mid-70s but a possible function has only recently been suggested. Two independent studies have found that 7SK RNA binds the CDK9/cyclin T complex (known as elongation factor P-TEFb). P-TEFb activates transcription by phosphorylating the C-terminal domain of RNA polymerase II.
Source: Rfam by way of RNAcentral
GAAUGUGAGGGCAAUCUGGCCGUGACGUCUGUCACCAUAUUGAUCUCCAGGGUUGAUUCAACUGAUCUGCCUGGCUAGGGGGAUGUCCCCUUCCUCCCUCACCUCUCCAUGUGCUCCCCUCCUAAAGCUUUGGGCUCAAUGGAAGAAGAUGACCACCUCCCACCAUAGAGGAAGACUGACAAGGCUAUACUAGUAGCUGAGCUCCACUGCUAGAAUCUGCAAAUAAGCUCUCUAUUACGUAUUUAUUAGUUUUAACAGUUUCAGAGUGAAUGGGGAGGCUUUAAGGUUUUUUACACAUAAGGCCAUGUCAUCUACAAAGAGCAAUCCUGU